This is a long non-coding RNA of Gallus gallus (chicken), 1199 nucleotides long. NCBI's taxonomy places the organism in Eukaryota, Metazoa, Chordata, Aves, Galliformes, Phasianidae. The record is from Ensembl.
CUUAAACAUUUGUGAAAGGAAGGAAGAACUCAGUGAGAUAACCACAGCGCUGAGAUGUUAUCAGAACAUCUGCACUCUGUCCAUCUCUCGCCCCAUUUUCCCCCGAGGAGCUGUUCCCUCUCGGUCCCACAUAGCACACACCAUCAAAACCACAGCAUACAGACAUGCAUAAGGUUCCUCCUUCCACCAGGGGACUUGUGUCUCCCGUUACAGCACGGAGGAUGUAUCAGGUUGCAGCAAAAUUUCACUCCUGCCAUAAUUUCGCAGGGAGAAGAUGAAUAUGAGAACAUAAUUUCCACAGCCAGCAGCCAUGCUCUGAGCAGCGCUCGUCGUGUCAGACAAAACCACAGACGACAACCUCAACUCAGACAGGGCUCUCAUUUGGGACCAGAGCCUGGAAGCAGCCUCCUGAAAGCAAGACCGGAGGAGCAAGAGAUGGAAAGAAGGGGCAGAGACAUUUCUGAGCCUCACCAAGGAAAGGAAAUAGCCUGCAAGAAAACAAGGCUUUCUUCUGGAAACCGCCUCAUGCUUGCAGCACAUUUCAGUCCCAGCUGGAAAUAGAAAUGCUGGGGACUCCAGGCAACAAAGCCAACUGGAGGGAUAUCCCUUCCCAAAUGGAGAAGCCAAUGGAGACACACGAGCUGAGAGGCAGAGCUGGGAUUAAACUCUGAGUGUUGCACCAUGCUGUGACUUUCCAUAGGAAGGGAGGAAGAUGAAGAGAGAAUUCUUCUCACCAGCUGGAUUCCUUCUCCUGCUGCCCAGCCCCGGGUCCGGCGCCAACACCUUGCGCAAAAGUCAACGCACCAACCUGACAGGUUUUCCAUCCACACCAAUCGCACAUUCAAGCUUAAUGGUUUUUCAUGCAGAUGUAACUUAAUUAACUGACUGCCUGAUUGCAUCCUAUAUGAGAUUUUUAGGCAGUUGAGACUGUUGCACAUUUGCAGAGCUGCUCCUGCCAGCCGUAAUGUGCUAUGCCACUUCAGGAGGAGCUGCCCAUGAGGAGUUGUCCAUGAUUUCGUAUUAACACCUUGAGACAAGACCAUGGAACUUAGUCUGCAAGUAUAUAUAUACUUAGAUUUUCUUUUAAAACAGAGAUGUGAAAAAAACACAAUAUGAGACACGAGACAAGGCUGGCUUGAGCAAGUUGAUGUCGGCUCAUCUUUCAAGCACCAUCCUCCAAAGUCAGAGAAUCACAGAAC